This 48-nucleotide ribosomal RNA is filed under the name Ceratocystiopsis manitobensis. Its description in RNAcentral is "partial 28S large subunit ribosomal RNA". Lineage: Eukaryota; Fungi; Ascomycota; Sordariomycetes; Ophiostomatales; Ophiostomataceae. The record is from RNAcentral.
UGACCUCGGAUCAGGUAGGACUACCCGCUGAACUUAAGCAUAUCAUAG